CGCGUAGGUGGUUUGUUAAGCGAGAUGUGAAAGCCCCGGGCUUAACCUGGGAACGGCAUUUCGAACUGGCAGGCUAGAGUGUGGUAGAGGGUAGUGGAAUUUCCUGUGUAGCGGUGAAAUGCGCAGAUAUAGGAAGGAACACCAGUGGCGAAGGCGGCUACCUGGACCAACACUGACACUGAGGUGCGAAAGCGUGGGGAGCAAACA
This 207-nucleotide ribosomal RNA is filed under the name uncultured bacterium. RNAcentral's name for it is "partial 16S ribosomal RNA". It matches the Rfam family "Bacterial small subunit ribosomal RNA", at positions 568 to 774 of the family's 1533-position model. The record is from RNAcentral.